AACGCGAAGAACCUUACCUGGGUUUGACAUGUGCAGGACAGGUGAUGAAAGUCACUCUCCCUUCGGGACCUGUACACAGGUGCUGCAUGGCUGUCGUCAGCUCGUGUCGUGAGAUGUUGGGUUAAGUCCCGCAACGAGCGCAACCCUCGCCCUCUGUUGCUACCGGGUCAUGCCGGGCACUCUGAGGGGACUGCCCCGGUGAACGGGGAGGAAGGUGGGGAUGACGUCAAGUCCUCAUGGCCUUUAUGUCCAGGGCUACACACGUGCUGCAAUGGUCAGGACAAUGGGUCGCUCCCGCGUAAGCGGUUGCCAAUCUCAAAGACCUGCCCCUAGUUCGGAUGGUCGGCUGCAACCCGCCGGCCUGAAGCUGGAAUCGCUAGUAAUCGGAGAUCAGCACGCUCCGGUGAAUACGUUCCCGGGCCUUGUACACACCG
RNAcentral lists this ribosomal RNA (434 nucleotides) under uncultured bacterium. Its description in RNAcentral is "bacterial SSU rRNA". It matches the Rfam family "Bacterial small subunit ribosomal RNA", at positions 958 to 1392 of the family's 1533-position model. The record is from RNAcentral.